CUCUCCCUGACUCCUUUCAGGCAUCCAGGAUCAUGGCCUAUAAAUUGCUUCAAGCAGCUGUGUGCUCCACCUUGCUAAUAGAAGUAUUGGGAGCACCAUUUUUGAUGGAGGACCCAGCAAACCAGUUUUUACGCCUGAAAAGACACGUGGUACACUUGCCAGAUUUCUGGGACCCAGAUCAUCACCCAGAUGGGACAGGAACAUCAUUGGCUGACGAGGUCUGGGAAGCAUGGACUUCUUUGAAAGCAAGUGCACGCCGCAAUUUUGACACGGACACAUUGGCCUUUGAUAUAUCUACUGCCCAGUAAAUGGACUUGAGUGUUACAAAGGAAAGAACAAACAUGGUAGAAGUUAGCACAGUAGUGUGGUAGGCUUGGAGAAACAGGAAGAUCAAAUGUGGCCUUCGCUACAUUAUGUAUUAUGCCCAGCUCAUGGAGACAUUGAAAGGAGCAAUGGUGAAAACCCUUGCAGACACCUGAAUGAAACUGGAAAUUCUCUGUAAAUGCCCAUUCUUGAGAAUGGAAAUAAAGACUAAAGUAAAAGUAUUUCCCCAAAGAGGGGCUUUUCUGAGAAAUAGGAUGCAAAUUUCAACUAACGUAACAUUUAGUGCCAUUAAAACAUUCUGCUC
This is a long non-coding RNA of Mus musculus (house mouse), 628 nucleotides long. RefSeq annotates it as predicted gene 5485. The transcript has 4 exons. The record is from RefSeq and is marked predicted. NCBI's taxonomy places the organism in Eukaryota, Metazoa, Chordata, Mammalia, Rodentia, Muridae.